RNAcentral lists this ribosomal RNA (1063 nucleotides) under Staphylococcus haemolyticus. RNAcentral's name for it is "bacterial SSU rRNA". It matches the Rfam family "Bacterial small subunit ribosomal RNA", at positions 44 to 1086 of the family's 1533-position model. Lineage: Bacteria; Bacillati; Bacillota; Bacilli; Caryophanales; Staphylococcaceae. The record is from RNAcentral.
GGGGGUAGUACAUGCAAGUCGAGCGAACAGACAAGGAGCUUGCUCCUUUGACGUUAGCGGCGGACGGGUGAGUAACACGUGGGUAACCUACCUAUAAGACUGGGAUAACUUCGGGAAACCGGAGCUAAUACCGGAUAAUAUUUCGAACCGCAUGGUUCGAUAGUGAAAGAUGGUUUUGCUAUCACUUAUAGAUGGACCCGCGCCGUAUUAGCUAGUUGGUAAGGUAACGGCUUACCAAGGCGACGAUACGUAGCCGACCUGAGAGGGUGAUCGGCCACACUGGAACUGAGACACGGUCCAGACUCCUACGGGAGGCAGCAGUAGGGAAUCUUCCGCAAUGGGCGAAAGCCUGACGGAGCAACGCCGCGUGAGUGAUGAAGGUCUUCGGAUCGUAAAACUCUGUUAUUAGGGAAGAACAUACGUGUAAGUAACUGUGCACGUCUUGACGGUACCUAAUCAGAAAGCCACGGCUAACUACGUGCCAGCAGCCGCGGUAAUACGUAGGUGGCAAGCGUUAUCCGGAAUUAUUGGGCGUAAAGCGCGCGUAGGCGGUUUUUUAAGUCUGAUGUGAAAGCCCACGGCUCAACCGUGGAGGGUCAUUGGAAACUGGAAAACUUGAGUGCAGAAGAGGAAAGUGGAAUUCCAUGUGUAGCGGUGAAAUGCGCAGAGAUAUGGAGGAACACCAGUGGCGAAGGCGACUUUCUGGUCUGUAACUGACGCUGAUGUGCGAAAGCGUGGGGAUCAAACAGGAUUAGAUACCCUGGUAGUCCACGCCGUAAACGAUGAGUGCUAAUUGUUAGGGGGUUUCCGCCCCUUAGUGCUGCAGCUAACGCAUUAAGCACUCCGCCUGGGGAGUACAACCGCAAGGUUGAAACUCAAAGGAAUUGACGGGGACCCGCACAACCGGUGGAGCAUGUGGUUUAAUUCGAACCAACCCGAAAAACCUUACCAAAUCUUAACAUCCUUUGACAACUCUAGAAAUAAACCUUUCCCCUUCGGGGGACAAAUUGACAGGUGGUGCAUGGUUUUCCUCACCUCCUGUCCUGAAAUGUUGGGUUAAUUG